AAGUCGUAACAAGGUUUCCGUAGGUGAACCUGCGGAAGGAUCAUUACUGAGUUCAUGCCCUUACGGGUAGAUCUCCCACCCUUUGUAUACUAUACCUUUGUUGCUUUGGCGGGCCGCCUAGCUACUGGCUUCGGCUGGUAAGUGCCCGCCAGAGGACCCAAAACCCUGAAUAUUAGUGUCGUCUGAGUAAAAAGUUUAAUAUUUAAAACUUUCAACAACGGAUCUCUUGGCUCUG
This is an unclassified non-coding RNA of 235 nucleotides. The stretch from base 1 to 46 matches the Rfam family "Eukaryotic small subunit ribosomal RNA", at positions 1786 to 1831 of the family's 1831-position model.